This is a non-coding RNA of Hydra vulgaris (swiftwater hydra), 741 nucleotides long. The record is from RefSeq and is a predicted model, not a curated record. Lineage: Eukaryota; Metazoa; Cnidaria; Hydrozoa; Anthoathecata; Hydridae.
UUAUUUUUUCUUUGGAUCAUGAAAUUUUUGUUUUAGUAGGAUGGUUUUUAAAUUUUUAUUCUCAUAAAAAAAUUAAAAACUUGGAUAUGCUUGGAUAAGCAAAAAGCUAUUGAUGGAAAAAAUAAAUUACAAAGUAAAUUUAUAGCUGAUACGGUUUUCAAAAAGCGAUGUAUGGAAGGAAAUAAAUACGUUGGUAUUGGAUGGUAUUGUUGAUUAAUAAUAAUGCAGAAGUUUGUUUUUCAUGCUCAAAGUAUGGAAGGACACAAAUACGUUCUGCAAGGUCGUUAUAGGCUCUGGCCCAUAAAAAGACCUCCAAAAACAAAAUUAGUCCCGUGCCACAAGAAGUCUUAAUCCGCUACUGAUUUGUAUGUAUGAAGAUCAUCACAAAUAUUGAGGAGAAAGGCUUGAUUUCGAAACAACUUAUUUAAAAGAAUUAAUAGUUUAAAAAUAGUGUCAUUUUUGUGUUCAUGUACAAUGUCAUUCAUGUUGUAUUUUGUAAUUGAAACAGCAAUAAUGCUAUUACUACCAUAAUUUGUUCCAUAUAAAAUUAUUCAACAAACUCUGUAAGCAUAUUUUAUUUCAAUAUUUCAACACCAGUUAACAAACUACAACCAUCAAUCUCACUGCAUAAAGUUUUUAAAUACUUAUUACUCAAUCUUGAUAAAGCCCCACAUUUUUUAUCGGAGGCAAAAAAUGGAUGAUAAUUCUUUUCUGCAAAUGAGUUAACAAAUUUAGGCAAUC